Molecule: ribosomal RNA, 1492 nt
Filed under: metagenome
Description: bacterial SSU rRNA
Rfam family: Bacterial small subunit ribosomal RNA
Source: RNAcentral
AGAGUUUGAUCCUGGCUCAGGACGAACGCUGGCGGCACGCUUAACACAUGCAAGUCGAACGAGAGAAGAGGAGCUUGCUUUUCUGAUCUAGUGGCGGACGGGUGAGUAACACGUGAGCAAUCUGCCUUUCAGAGGGGGAUACCGAUUGGAAACGAUCGUUAAUACCGCAUAACAUAAUUGAACCGCAUGAUUUGAUUAUCAAAGAUUUAUCGCUGAAAGAUGAGCUCGCGUCUGAUUAGCUAGUUGGUAAGGUAACGGCUUACCAAGGCGACGAUCAGUAGCCGGACUGAGAGGUUGAUCGGCCACAUUGGGACUGAGACACGGCCCAGACUCCUACGGGAGGCAGCAGUGGGGAAUAUUGCACAAUGGAGGAAACUCUGAUGCAGCGAUGCCGCGUGAGGGAAGAAGGUUUUAGGAUUGUAAACCUCUGUCUUCAGGGACGAAAAAAGACGGUACCUGAGGAGGAAGCUCCGGCUAACUACGUGCCAGCAGCCGCGGUAAUACGUAGGGAGCGAGCGUUGUCCGGAAUUACUGGGUGUAAAGGGAGCGUAGGCGGGAUCGCAAGUCAGAUGUGAAAACUAUGGGCUUAACCCAUAAACUGCAUUUGAAACUGUGGUUCUUGAGUGAAGUAGAGGUAAGCGGAAUUCCUAGUGUAGCGGUGAAAUGCGUAGAUAUUAGGAGGAACAUCAGUGGCGAAGGCGGCUUACUGGGCUUUAACUGACGCUGAGGCUCGAAAGCGUGGGGAGCAAACAGGAUUAGAUACCCUGGUAGUCCACGCCGUAAACGACGAUUACUAGGUGUGGGGGGACUGACCCCUUCCGUGCCGCAGCAAACGCAAUAAGUAAUCCACCUGGGGAGUACGACCGCAAGGUUGAAACUCAAAGGAAUUGACGGGGGCCCGCACAAGCAGUGGAGUAUGUGGAUUAAUUCGAAGCAACGCGAAGAACCUUACCAGGUCUUGACAUCGUAUGCAUAGCUCAGAGAUGAGUGAAAUCUCUUCGGAGACAUAUAGACAGGUGGUGCAUGGUUGUCGUCAGCUCGUGUCGUGAGAUGUUGGGUUAAGUCCCGCAACGAGCGCAACCCUUACUGUUAGUUGCUACGCAAGAGCACUCUAGCAGGACUGCCGUUGACAAAACGGAGGAAGGUGGGGAUGACGUCAAAUCAUCAUGCCCCUUAUGACCUGGGCCUCACACGUACUACAAUGGCUGUCAACAGAGGGAAGCAAAGCCGCGAGGUGGAGCGAACCCCUAAAAGCAGUCUUAGUUCGGAUUGUAGGCUGCAACCCGCCUACAUGAAGUCGGAAUUGCUAGUAAUCGCAGAUCAGCAUGCUGCGGUGAAUACGUUCCCGGGCCUUGUACACACCGCCCGUCACGCCAUGGGAGUCGGUAACACCCGAAGCCUGUAGUCUAACCGCAAGGAGGACGCAGUCGAAGGUGGGAUUGAUGACUGGGGUGAAGUCGGAACAAGGUAGCCGUAUCGGAAGGUGCGGCUG